RNAcentral lists this ribosomal RNA (425 nucleotides) under uncultured bacterium. RNAcentral's name for it is "partial 16S ribosomal RNA". It matches the Rfam family "Bacterial small subunit ribosomal RNA", at positions 354 to 796 of the family's 1533-position model. The record is from RNAcentral.
GUGGGGAAUAUUGGGCAAUGGGCGAAAGCCUGACCCAGCAACGCCGCGUGAAGGAAGAAGGUUUUCGGAUCGUAAACUUCUAUCCUUGGUGAAGAUAAUGACGGUAGCCAAGAAGGAAGCCACGGCUAACUACGUGCCAGCAGCCGCGGUAAUACGUAGGGGGCAAGCGUUGUCCGGAAUGAUUGGGCGUAAAGGGCGCGUAGGCGGCCCGGUAAGUCUGAAGUGAAAGUCCUGCUUUUAAGGUGGGAAUUGCUUUGGAUACUGUCGGGCUUGAGUGCAGGCGAGGUAAGCGGAAUUCCCGGUGUAGCGGUGAAAUGCGUAGAGAUCGGGAGGAACACCAGUGGCGAAGGCGGCUUACUGGACUGUAACUGACGCUGAGGCGCGAAAGUGUGGGGAGCAAACAGGAUUAGAAACCCUUGUAGUCC